Molecule: ribosomal RNA, 473 nt
Filed under: uncultured bacterium
Lineage: Bacteria
Description: bacterial SSU rRNA
Rfam family: Bacterial small subunit ribosomal RNA
Source: RNAcentral
AUUGAACGCUGGCGGCAGGCUUAACACAUGCAAGUCGAGCGGAGACUUCGGUCUUAGCGGCGAACGGGUGAGUAAUACCUAGGAAUCUGCCUAUUAGUGGGGGAUAACGAAUCGAAAGGUUCGCUAAUACCGCAUACGUCCUACGGGAGAAAGGGGGGGGAUCUUUGGACCUCUCGCUAAUAGAUGAGCCUAGGCCGGAUUAGCUAGUUGGUAGGGUAAAGGCCUACCAAGGCGACGAUCUGUAGCUGGUCUGAGAGGAUGGCCAGCCACACUGGAACUGAGACACGGUCCAGACUCCUACGGGAGGCAGCAGUGGGGAAUAUUGGACAAUGGGGGCAACCCUGAUCCAGCCAUGCCGCGUGUGUGAAGAAGGCCUUCGGGUUGUAAAGCACUUUAAGCGAGGAGGAAGGUUUUUAGUUUAAUACACUAAAGAAUUGACGUUACUCGCAGAAUAAGCACCGGCUAACUCUGUG